AAACACUCCAUAAGCUUCAGUCACUCAUUGGCUUCGAUCGAGCACGAUUUCAAUCUUGUUGCCGUGGUUCAGGGCUCAACAAAUCUCAACAAUAUCCCUGAAGUUGUAGGUAUGCUGGGAAGAAGAAAAAAAAACUAUUCA
Long non-coding RNA from Etheostoma spectabile (orangethroat darter), 141 nucleotides. RefSeq lists it as uncharacterized. NCBI's taxonomy places the organism in Eukaryota, Metazoa, Chordata, Actinopteri, Perciformes, Percidae. The record is from RefSeq and is a predicted model, not a curated record. The transcript has 3 exons.